AGCGUUGUGUCAGAGAAAGGAGAGAUGCCAAAACCCCAGCCAAAACACUGGAGCCAAGCACCCGUGGAUAUGGGAAAGUUGCCUUCUGGAUCCAAGCGUUGGAGGGCUCUGGGAGGCCCACCUACCUCAGGAACAGAUAUCUUCAUGAUUAUGAUGUGGAAGAGGGGAAAAAAGAGUGUGUGAUGCUGAGGGAGAAGAAAAUGGUCCUUGGAAAAACUGAUUUCUGAAAAGAAAAGUAGCUGAAGCCUCUAAUAAUUGUUUUUGAGAACCCAGUGAGGUACCCAACACUGCUGCUAGCUCUCAGGAAGCUCUACAAUGUGGUGAAAAAUACCCAGGAGCAGAAAUCCCACCAAGAAGUUGACCCUCUGAAUCCCACCGAGAAAUGAACCUCCUGAAUGGCAGCACAGAAGAGCUGGCAAAGGCUUCCAUGAAGAAAGAAGUGCCUGUGGAGGUAGGAGUCUUUUCCUGUGAACCUUGUUGAUCUAGUUUAGAGAUGGGACUUUCCCAACCCCUUGAACCUGACUCUUUCUGCUGUGCAGCUGAAUACCUGACCUGGUGCCUAGAAUUGCUUUUGAUCUGUACCAGUCAGAGACAAACAUCUUGCUUCUGUUUGUGUCUCAAAACAUGUCUAGAAACAGCUUUUGAGUAAAUUAACCUGUUUUCCAGUGUACAACUUUUCCCUGGACUGAAAUUUCUAAUGAUUAUUUCCAGAUUUUCCUUACUCUCAGCUGCUUUAGUUUUGGGGGUUUUUUUGCUUUUUUUUUUUUUUUUAGGUGGCUCAAGGCCCCAUCCAACAUCUACCUUCUUUC
This 809-nucleotide long non-coding RNA is filed under the name Parus major (Great Tit). RNAcentral's name for it is "lncRNA (ENSPMJG00000015719.1)". The record is from RNAcentral. Lineage: Eukaryota; Metazoa; Chordata; Aves; Passeriformes; Paridae.